AUUGAACGCUGGCGGCAUGCCUUACACAUGCAAGUCGAACGGCAGCACGGGAGCAAUCCUGGUGGCGAGUGGCGAACGGGUGAGUAAUAUAUCGGAACGUGCCCGGUCGUGGGGGAUAACGUAGCGAAAGCUACGCUAAUACCGCAUACGAUCUACGGAUGAAAGCGGGGGAUCGCAAGACCUCGCGCGAUUGGAGCGGCCGAUAUCAGAUUAGGUAGUUGGUGAGGUAAAGGCUCACCAAGCCGACGAUCUGUAGCUGGUCUGAGAGGACGACCAGCCACACUGGGACUGAGACACGGCCCAGACUCCUACGGGAGGCAGCAGUGGGGAAUUUUGGACAAUGGGCGCAAGCCUGAUCCAGCAAUGCCGCGUGCAGGAUGAAGGUCUUCGGGUUGUAAACUGCUUUGUACGGAACGAAACGGUGAGCUCUAAUACAGUUUGCUAAUGACGGUAUCGUAAGAAUAAGCACCGGCUAACUACGUG
RNAcentral lists this ribosomal RNA (483 nucleotides) under uncultured bacterium. RNAcentral describes it as "bacterial SSU rRNA". It matches the Rfam family "Bacterial small subunit ribosomal RNA", at positions 30 to 507 of the family's 1533-position model. The record is from RNAcentral.